GUUAUUCUAAAAGAUAGUAAGAAUAGUUGAUAUUCCAAGACAUCCUGAGUACCUCAUUGAGCCUUAAGUGUACCGCAUGAUAAGACCCGAGAAUCUGCAACUUUUUAUUAAAAAUCUUUAGCAAUUGAAAAGAAAACAUUCUCCACGUUCAAAAUUCGUCGUCUUGGCACUCUGUAAGAGAAACCCAUCAACAUCAGCCAAUGAAAUG
Molecule: long non-coding RNA, 208 nt
Filed under: Brassica napus (rape)
Lineage: Eukaryota; Viridiplantae; Streptophyta; Magnoliopsida; Brassicales; Brassicaceae
Description: long non-coding RNA (BNAP_LNC013027)
Source: RNAcentral